ACCUUUUCGAUUUCCUAUCCCCCACCUCAGGUUCCUGGGGUGGUCUCUGAUGGAGUGGAGGCAGCGUGGGCAUGGGGGCGGCGUGUCUGCUGUGGGCCCAGCAGGUCCCCCAUGUGCUCUGACCCCCUUUGAGGCAACUAUAGAGUGGGAGACAUAUUUGAGAGACAAAUGCUUUCUGCUUAAGCUCAGGCUGUUGAACUUGGCACAGAACAGCAGCCCUUCCAAGCUUUAUUUACUGUGUGUUCUCUGAAGAUACCACUGUAUCAGACAGAGGCAGCCUGGUCUGACCUUUCCUGUGACACAGAGACAAAAGUGAGGUGUUGAAAACUG
Long non-coding RNA from Mesocricetus auratus (golden hamster), 330 nucleotides. RefSeq lists it as uncharacterized. The record is from RefSeq and is a predicted model, not a curated record. The transcript is spliced from 3 exons. NCBI's taxonomy places the organism in Eukaryota, Metazoa, Chordata, Mammalia, Rodentia, Cricetidae.